UAGGGAAUAUUGGACAAUGGGCGAAAGCCUGAUCCAGCCAUGCCGCGUGUGUGAAGAAGGUCUUCGGAUUGUAAAGCACUUUAAGUUGGGAGGAAGGGCAUUAACCUAAUACGUUAGUGUUUUGACGUUACCGACAGAAUAAGCACCGGCUAACUCUGUGCCAGCAGCCGCGGUAAUACAGAGGGUGCAAGCGUUAAUCGGAAUUACUGGGCGUAAAGCGCGCGUAGGUGGUUUGUUAAGUUGGAUGUGAAAUCCCCGGGCUCAACCUGGGAACUGCAUUCAAAACUGACAAGCUAGAGUAUGGUAGAGGGUGGUGGAAUUUCCUGUGUAGCGGUGAAAUGCGUAGAUAUAGGAAGGAACACCAGUGGCGAAGGCGACCACCUGGACUGAUACUGACACUGAGGUGCGAAAGCGUGGGGAGCAAACAGGAUUAGAUACCCUUGUAGUCCCUGAGCGGGCUGGCAAGGCGCAU
Molecule: ribosomal RNA, 472 nt
Filed under: uncultured bacterium
Lineage: Bacteria
Description: bacterial SSU rRNA
Rfam family: Bacterial small subunit ribosomal RNA
Source: RNAcentral